AGCUUGGAAUGGCACCCACCCGUCCUUGUCCCACAGGAUACUGAGGUCGAGACGGAGGGGAGAUUUAUUUGUUUUAAAAAAUAAUUUAUAAAUUAGAAAUAUAAAUUUAAAAUGAUUUUAAGAAUAUUAUUUUUAAUGAAAAAUAAUAAUACAUUUCUAUCAAGCCCUCGGGUAUUGGAAAAACCUGAUCGGUGCGAGACAGAUGGAUUUUUUUUUUUUGUUCGGAACAAUUGCCAUCCUUAAAUUCACAGUCAGCUGAGCAAGGUUAUAUCUAAUAAUGGAAUUUCAAGCUCACGUUCACACUGCCAUAAAGUUCUUUCUAUUUCCAGGAAAGAUUCAGAUUCUCUUUUAAGUUUUGAAGUCAUACAAUCUCUCCAUUCUCCAUGCACAUGCUUGUAACGGUGCAAUUUUAAUUCUUGCCGUUUAUUUCUUUUUUUCAUUCUUUCCUUAUUCUGUAGCUAUUUACUAUUUCCUUGGAAUCUCUUUUUCUGUUCUUGUAAGAUGGUUGGUUUUUGUUAUAAUGUAUAGGAUCUUGCUGUGAAAAAUAUUUGCUCGGUUUGUUUAGUUUUCAUCAUUGCUAUCGAUUAUUAUGGUAGUUUAAGUCUGCACGCAGAGUGAGCUUGUUGUAUUUAUAUUGGGUUUUACCGUCUUUUGAUGACGAACAUGGUGUUUGACUUUGGCUGCAUGAUUUAGAUCACAUUCACACCCUAACAAUUAAAAAUCGUCUUAUAUAAUGCUUUUUCUCGUCUCUUUUGUUGGACCCAAAACAUUUCGUUAAUCAAAGAGCACAGGAAUCAGCGCAAAGUUAAGGGAAUUUUUAUAUAAAUCCCAAGUGGUGAUUUGCAGAGCUUGCUUGUAAUCCUCUGUAGCGGUUGUUUCAAACAAAGUGAUUAUGGACAACCAUGUUAGAGGCAUAGCUCCUAACGACCUUCAGGGAAAGUUUUCUGCUAUGGUGGUGUGUUUUCUUCUUGGAAAUGGAUGCCUCUUUUCAUGGAAUAGUAUGCUUACAAUAGAAGAUUACUAUGGUUACCUUUUCCCGCGAUACCACCCCUCAAGGGUUCUUACUCUUGUGUAUCAGCCAUUUGCAUUUUUAACACUUGCAGUCCUUGCAUAUCAUGAGGCAAAACUGAAUACCAGAAAAAGGAACCUGUUUGGAUAUGUCCUAUUUUUCAUCAGCUCUCUUCUUGUUUUAGUUUUGGAUUUGGCUACAUCAGGAGGAGGAGGCCUUGGAACUUUUAUUGGAAUUUGUGUCAUUAGUGGUUUAUUUGGAGUUGCAGAUGCUCAUGUGCAGGGGGGAAUGAUUGGAGACCUCUCCUUCAUGCAACCUGAAUUUCUGCAGUCAUUCCUUACUGGUUUGGCAGCAUCAGGGACUCUAACCUCUGUUUUGAGGUUAAUUACAAAAGCAGCAUUUGAGAAUUCUAAGAAUGGUCUUCGCAAGGGAGCUAUUCUAUUUUUUGCGAUCUCUGCAUUUUUCGAGCUUCUUUGUGUUAUUCUCUAUGCUUAUGCCUUCCCAAAAUUACCCAUUGUGAAGUACUACCGCUCAAAGGCAGCCUCAGAAGGUUCAAAAACUGUCGGCUGAUCUUGCUGUAUUAGAGUAUAAAUUAUACAGCUCUCUCCGCGCCCUUAGAAUAUUUAUUUAAAAUAGUGUUUGUGGUAAUUCAUCAAGAC
This 1668-nucleotide unclassified non-coding RNA is filed under the name Hevea brasiliensis (rubber tree). The record is from RNAcentral. Lineage: Eukaryota; Viridiplantae; Streptophyta; Magnoliopsida; Malpighiales; Euphorbiaceae.